UACGUAGGGUGCAAGCGUUGUCCGAAUUAUUGGGCGUAAAGAGCUUGUAGGCGGUUUGUCGCGUCUGCUGUGAAAUUUCGGGGCUCAACCCCGAACUUGCAGUGGGUACGGGCAGACUAGAGUGUGGUAGGGGAGACUGGAAUUCCUGGUGUAGCGGUGAAAUGCGCAGAUAUCAGGAGGAACACCGAUGGCGAAGGCAGGUCUCUGGGCCACUACUGACGCUGAGAAGCGAAAGCAUGGGGAGCGAACAGG
This 252-nucleotide ribosomal RNA is filed under the name uncultured bacterium. RNAcentral's name for it is "partial 16S ribosomal RNA". It matches the Rfam family "Bacterial small subunit ribosomal RNA", at positions 524 to 776 of the family's 1533-position model. The record is from RNAcentral.